This 247-nucleotide unclassified non-coding RNA is filed under the name Hevea brasiliensis (rubber tree). The record is from RNAcentral. Lineage: Eukaryota; Viridiplantae; Streptophyta; Magnoliopsida; Malpighiales; Euphorbiaceae.
GCAAGAGGAUAUAUUCUGCACUGCAAAAUUCACUGCACUCAGGAGAAGAGAGACUGUCAGAAUCUUGCCUGGGUGCAGUAAGGAUGAAGCUAAAGGAAAAACAUAUGGAUUUUGUUGGUGAUCUAGAUGUGAGAUGGAGACUUAUCAGUGGCAAAGUUACUUCUCGUGAAACCAGAGUGUUAUUAGCAGAAGCUGUUUCAAUCUUCCAUGAUUGCUUUGAUCCUAUUGUUGAUUCGGCAACUGGACG